AGUGAACGCUGGCGGUAGGCCUAACACAUGCAAGUCGAACGGCAGCACAGUAAGAGCUUGCUCUUACGGGUGGCGAGUGGCGGACGGGUGAGGAAUACAUCGGAAUCUACUUUUUCGUGGGGGAUAACGUAGGGAAACUUACGCUAAUACCGCAUACGACCUACGGGUGAAAGCAGGGGAUCUUCGGACCUUGCGCGAUUGAAUGAGCCGAUGUCGGAUUAGCUAGUUGGCGGGGUAAAGGCCCACCAAGGCGACGAUCCGUAGCUGGUCUGAGAGGAUGAUCAGCCCACCUGGAACUGAGACCCGGUCCCGACUCCUACGGGAGGCAGGCGUUGGGAAUAUUGGACAAUGGGCGCAAGCCUGAUCCAGCCAUACUGCGUGGGUGAAGAAGGCCUUCGGGUUGUAAAGCCCUUUUGUUGGGAAAGAAAAGCAGCAGGUUAAUACCCCGCUGUUCUGACGGUACCCAAAGAAUAAGCACCGGCUAACUUCGUG
This 492-nucleotide ribosomal RNA is filed under the name uncultured bacterium. Its description in RNAcentral is "partial 16S ribosomal RNA". It matches the Rfam family "Bacterial small subunit ribosomal RNA", at positions 29 to 507 of the family's 1533-position model. The record is from RNAcentral.